AGGUGCUGCAGUGGCUGUCGUCAGCUCGUGUCGUGAGAUGGUUGGGUUAACGUCCCGUAACGAGCGCAACCCUUCGUCCUUAGUUACCAGCACGUUAUGGUGGGCACUCUAAGGAGACUGCCGGUGACAAACCGGAGGAAGGUGGGGAUGACGUCAAGUCAUCAUGGCCCUUACGGCCUGGGCUACACACGUGCUACAAUGGUCGGUACAAAGGGUUGCCAAGCCGCGAGGUGGAGCUAAUCCCAUAAAACCGAUCGUAGUCCGGAUCGCAGUCUGCAACUCGACUGCGUGAAGUCGGAAUCGCUAGUAAUCGUGAAUCAGAAUGUCACGGUGAAUACGUUCCCGGGCCUU
This 351-nucleotide ribosomal RNA is filed under the name uncultured Pseudomonas sp. RNAcentral's name for it is "bacterial SSU rRNA". It matches the Rfam family "Bacterial small subunit ribosomal RNA", at positions 1036 to 1382 of the family's 1533-position model. Lineage: Bacteria; Pseudomonadati; Pseudomonadota; Gammaproteobacteria; Pseudomonadales; Pseudomonadaceae. The record is from RNAcentral.